GAGCUCACCGGCCUCACCCAAGCUCGCAGCAUUGUGCCGGGAAAGGAUGUUCUCGGCUCCGGCCUUUUUCCUCCUCUCCUGGGGACAGAACAUGGAUCCUGGAAGGCAUUGAGGACCCUGUGCUCAGCCCCUGCCCAUCCCUUCCACCACUUAUCUGUCCUGUAGGCACACUGACGCGGCUUUCACAAAAUGGGAGGCUCUGAGAGGUGAGCUCCCAGGAGACAGGACCAAGGUCUGCCUUCAUCCUGAAGUUUGCAGGGCAGAGGCCCAGAUCCUGCAAAGGUGAUGUGCUCAGGAAGCCACAGCGGAGCCCCACACGCACCAUGUGAGUCACGCUGGUGCCACAGGCUUGAACUCUGCUGGACACAAACAGCCUGGGGGGUGUGGAAGUGGGCAUUACCGCUGUGCUGUUCUUACUUGGGGCAGUGUCUCCAAUAUCCCUUUCCCAUUCAGCAACUGUGCAACACCUGACUUCAGAAACAGACGUCUAGAGCCCUGCCUGAUGGAGCCAGGACCAGCUUGCCUGGUGGAUCUGUGCCCUGGGGACCCGCUUGGGCUCUAGCACAGCAUGUGCUGUAGAGUCAAGCACACAUGAGGUGGCCCCACUGCCCUGCAGACCACAGAUGCAGCCCCAGCUCACCAUUGACAUCUGUCCCCAGUCAGACCUCUUUACGCAGCAUUCUAGCCUCUCGUUCUCUGCCACACCCAUUGCCCCACUCACCCCGCCCUCUCCACUCACUGGAGCUGCCCAGCAUCCUCAUCCCUCUUCUAAGCAACAUGCCUUCCUCCCCAUACCCAACAUCUUUGCCUGG
Homo sapiens (human) is the source of this 812-nucleotide long non-coding RNA. Lineage: Eukaryota; Metazoa; Chordata; Mammalia; Primates; Hominidae. The record is from Ensembl.